GGGAAUUUUGGACAAUGGGCGAAAGCCUGAUCCAGCAAUGCCGCGUGUGUGAAGAAGGCCUUCGGGUUGUAAAGCACUUUUGUCCGGAAAGAAAUCCUCUGGGUUAAUACCUCGGGGGGAUGACGGUACCGGAAGAAUAAGCACCGGCUAACUACGUGCCAGCAGCCGCGGUAAUACGUAGGGUGCAAGCGUUAAUCGGAAUUACUGGGCGUAAAGCGUGCGCAGGCGGAUUUGUAAGACGGAUGUGAAAUCCCCGGGCUUAACCUGGGAACUGCAUUCGUGACUGCAAGGCUAGAGUAUGGCAGAGGGGGGUAGAAUUCCACGUGUAGCAGUGAAAUGCGUAGAGAUGUGGAGGAAUACCGAUGGCGAAGGCAGCCCCCUGGGCCAAUACUGACGCUCAUACACGAAAGCGUGGGGAGCAAACA
Molecule: ribosomal RNA, 425 nt
Filed under: uncultured bacterium
Lineage: Bacteria
Description: bacterial SSU rRNA
Rfam family: Bacterial small subunit ribosomal RNA
Source: RNAcentral